CAGUCGCCACGGGAAUACGUAGGGUGCAAGCGUUAAUCGGAAUUACUGGGCGUAAAGCGUGCGCAGGCGGUUCGGAAAGAAAGAUGUGAAAUCCCAGAGCUUAACUUUGGAACUGCAUUUUUAACUACCGGGCUAGAGUGUGUCAGAGGGAGGUGGAAUUCCGCGUGUAGCAGUGAAAUGCGUAGAUAUGCGGAGGAACACCGAUGGCGAAGGCAGCCUCCUGGGAUAACACUGACGCUCAUGCACGAAAGCGUGGGGAGCAAACAGGAUUAGAUACCCCAGUAGUCCCUGUCUCUUAUAC
This 301-nucleotide ribosomal RNA is filed under the name uncultured bacterium. Its description in RNAcentral is "partial 16S ribosomal RNA". It matches the Rfam family "Bacterial small subunit ribosomal RNA", at positions 509 to 807 of the family's 1533-position model. The record is from RNAcentral.